RNAcentral lists this ribosomal RNA (279 nucleotides) under uncultured bacterium. RNAcentral describes it as "partial 16S ribosomal RNA". It matches the Rfam family "Bacterial small subunit ribosomal RNA", at positions 506 to 784 of the family's 1533-position model. The record is from RNAcentral.
UGCCAGCAGCCGCGGUAAUACGUACCGGACAAGCGUUAUUCGGAAUCACUGGGCUUAAAGAGUGCGUAGGCGGCCUAACAGGUGGGGUGUGAAAGCCCACGGCUCAACCGUGGAAUUGCGCUCCAAACCGCUAGGCUUGAGGGAGACAGGGGUGAGCGGAACUGAUGGUGGAGCGGUGAAAUGCGUUGAUAUCAUCAGGAACACCAGUGGCGAAGGCGGCUCACUGGGUCUCUUCUGACGCUGAGGCACGAAAGCUAGGGGAGCGAACGGGAUUAGAUA